GUGAGGAAUUUUCCGCAAUGGGCGAAAGCCUGACGGAGCAAUGCCGCGUGAAGGAUGAAGGCCUAUGGGUUGUAAACUUCUUUUCUCAGAAAAGAAUUAUGACGGUAUCUGAGGAAUAAGCAUCGGCUAACUCUGUGCCAGCAGCCGCGGUAAGACAGAGGAUGCAAGCGUUAUCCGGAAUGAUUGGGCGUAAAGCGUCUGUAGGUUGUUUAAAAAGUAUUCUGUCAAAGAUUAGGGCUUAACCCUAGAUAGGCAGAAUAAACUUUUAAGCUAGAGUUUGCUAGAGUCAGAGGGAAUUCCCGGUGGAGCGGUGAAAUGCGUAGAUAUCGGGAGGAACACCAAAGGCGAGGGCACUCUGCUGGGCCAAUACUAACACUGAGAGAUGAAAGCGAGGGGAGCAAAUGGGAUUAGAUACCCGAGUAGUCC
Molecule: ribosomal RNA, 426 nt
Filed under: uncultured bacterium
Lineage: Bacteria
Description: bacterial SSU rRNA
Rfam family: Bacterial small subunit ribosomal RNA
Source: RNAcentral